Long non-coding RNA from Humulus lupulus (European hop), 429 nucleotides. RefSeq lists it as uncharacterized. The transcript is spliced from 2 exons. The record is from RefSeq and is a predicted model, not a curated record. Lineage: Eukaryota; Viridiplantae; Streptophyta; Magnoliopsida; Rosales; Cannabaceae.
CUCAGAUCAUUCUAACUUUAGCCAUAAUAAGUUGUCUGAGUUGAUGGAGCCUUGGACUAGGAUGCUUCCAUCUUUACUCAACGCUUCUGGUAUGUUUAAAGGACACCCCAAGUUGAAAAUAGCUAGACCGAAGAUCACCGUUCCAAACUUUGAUUGGCGGCGCAUGUCCACUGAUAUUGUCCCACAGUCUAGAACCAGCGGAGAUUGCGGUGUAUUCGCCAUCAAACACUUGGAGUUCAUUCUUGGAGACAUUCCCUUAUCAUAUGCCAUCGAGGACAACAUUCAGUACUUCAGGGAUAAAUUAUGCAUCGACAUUUUUUAUGAGAAUGUGUACCCUUGAUGUUAGAACAUUUAUUUUGAUUUCGAUGACACACAAUAGUAUAUUUCUCCUUAGUAUUGUAUAUAAAAAAUGUCGUUUCGAUUAACAAA